CUACGGGUUGCUGCAGUGAGGAAUAUUGGUCAAUGGACGCAAGUCUGAACCAGCCAAGUCGCGUGAAGGAUGACUGCCCUAUGGGUUGUAAACUUCUUUUAUUUGGUAAGAAUAAACACUACGUGUAGUGUGAUGCCUGUACCAAAUGAAUAAGCAUCGGCUAACUCCGUGCCAGCAGCCGCGGUAAUACGGAGGAUGCGAGCGUUAUCCGGAUUUAUUGGGUUUAAAGGGUGCGUAGGUGGUGUAGUAAGUUAGUGGUCAAAUCUUCAGGCUCAACCUGAUGUAGCCAUUAAUACUGCUAUACUAGAGUAUAGACGAGGUAGGCGGAAUAAGUUAAGUAGCGGUGAAAUGCUUAGAUAUAACUUAGAACUCCGAUAGCGAAGGCAGCUUACCAGGCUAUAACUGACACUGAUGCACGAGAGCGUGGGUAGCGAACAGGAUUAGAUACCCUCGUAGUC
This 458-nucleotide ribosomal RNA is filed under the name uncultured bacterium. Its description in RNAcentral is "partial 16S ribosomal RNA". It matches the Rfam family "Bacterial small subunit ribosomal RNA", at positions 339 to 795 of the family's 1533-position model. The record is from RNAcentral.